Homo sapiens (human) is the source of this 1127-nucleotide long non-coding RNA. Ensembl annotates it as CCDC26 long non-coding RNA. Its record names the gene CCDC26. Lineage: Eukaryota; Metazoa; Chordata; Mammalia; Primates; Hominidae. The record is from Ensembl.
GCUACAGUGCUACUGGCCCAUAAUCAGGCAACUGCAGAGUCUUAGGGGGUUAUCUAAUGUAGUCUUGGGGUGGCUGGAUAGACUUCCCAAAGAAGGUGAUGCCGAAGCUGAGGUCGGAAAUUACGAAGAUCAGCUAUCAAACUUGGAAAUCAUGUCUUAGAGAUCAAGGAGCCAAGAGAUGAGACAAGCCUGGGUUCCUAGGUGAUAGGGUGUGGCUGUGUCCCCACCCAAAUCUCGUCUUGAAUUGUAGCUCCCAUAAUCCCCACAUGUUGUGGAGGGACCCUGUGGAAGAUCUUUAAUAAAUGAAAUAAAUGUGACUGUAUGUCCUACAUCCCAUUCCUGUUGUCUUCCAUGUCUCCUCAGAGAACUACCUCAGGAACAUACCAGGAAAGCUGAGAGAAUCCAAAGACCCUUUGAAGGACCUGGAUCACUGCUGCAGGCUCCUUGAGAUGCCGAAAAACUCAUCUACUUGUUUCCAAAGUUAUUUGGGUCAGCAUUUUCCUCCACCCACCACUUAAAACUGAUUUGUUUCAUACAUUUGAAAUGUAUGAAAAGCCAGAAAUCCAGGACCCACCCUGGCCUGCUCCCUUUUUCUCACCUACUGUGUUAAGAUGUCUACACUUUUACCUCUGCUUGCCUGAUACAACCACCACCAGUCACCUCACAGAAUAACUCACUCCUUAAGAAUCUGAUCAGGAAUCAGCCUUCCCUGAUCACAAACACUGAGUUUAGAAGUCCCUCCACAGUGUCCCCCGUAACCCUGUGCUACCUCACUGCCUCAUAGUUUAGUGCCGUUUGUGUACAUGCCUAUCUUCGUCCAUGGAUCCAGAACAACUUGUAAAAAUGACUGUACUUAUCACCUUCAGUAUUCAAUGACUAAACUAUAAUUUUAACAUAUCUGGCAGAAUGAAUCACUUGGGGAUUUCUGCCAACACUACCAAUAUAUUACUCCUAAUUUGUAAUUAUUACUUAGCAUGGAUUAUAGUACCGGCUGUUGGAGAGCCAAUGUGGCAGACCCUAAGUGGAAUAAAAUGUCAGUAGCAGUCUAGGAGCAUAUAUUUAUUGGAAUAGAUCAUUCAUUCAUUUGUUCAUUAACUAAUUUGUUCAUUAAAUAAACAUUUAUUAAG